RNAcentral lists this long non-coding RNA (1710 nucleotides) under Homo sapiens (human). RNAcentral's name for it is "HSALNT0302777". The record is from RNAcentral. Lineage: Eukaryota; Metazoa; Chordata; Mammalia; Primates; Hominidae.
GUUUCACUGUGUUAGCCAGGAUGGUCUCGAUCUCCUGACCUUGUGAUCCACCUGCCUCGGCCUCCCAAAGAGACUUUCCUAUUCUUCUAACAGGCUGCUAUUCAAGAAUAUCCCUAUUCCUAGACACUGUUCCACCUGAUCCCCUUAGCAGGGCUUUAGUCUUUAAAGAUAGCUCCUGAUUGAAAACUGCAUCUUGUUAAUAUGGUUAUUAAAAAGUGCUUAUCACUUUUAACAAGAGUUUAUAUUGAGUCCUUACUAUAUGCCAAGUGCUCUAAAUGCACAAUACACAGCAUUGCUUACUCCUCUCAACAACUUAAUCAAGUAGGUAUGAUUAUUAUCCCCAUUUUGCAGAUGAAGAAACUGAGAUACACAGGUUAAAUUCUCUAAGGAAACUACAGGCUGGGCAGGGUGGCUCAAACCUGUAAUCCCAGCACUUCAGGAGGCUGAGGUGGGUGGACUGCUUGAGCUCAGGAGUUUGAGACCAGCUUGGCAACAUGGCAAAACCAUAUCUCUACAAAAAAUACACACACACACACACAAAAAUUAGCCAGAUGUGGUGGUGUGUGUCUGUAGUCCCAGCUACUUCAGAGGCUGAGGUGGGAGGAUGGCUUGAGCUCAGGAGGCAGAGGUUGCAGUGAACCACUGCAGUCCAGCCUAGACGACACAGUCAGACCCCGUCUCAAUUUAAAAAAACAAAAAAAAACUGGAAAGUGACAGAACUGGAAUUCAAACAGGGGUCUCACUCCACAUUUAACAAUGUUGUAAGAAGUGAAAUGUUCUGCCCUGGAAAAUACCGUUAGAAAAGGGAAAAUACAGAGAUUCCUUAAUCUGGUGUUCACAAUAACCUUUAUUAGUUUACCAGUCAUUCUUAAUCUUUUCAUUUUCAAGUCUCAGAAAUAUAUGAAAAAUUUUGAUCCAUUUUGAACUUAAUGAAUAUUAACAAGUUUUAAUGUUUACCAUUCAUAUUAAGAAACUCAUUUUCAUUGUUUUAAAAGUUUGUAUAUUUUCACAUACAAAUGGAAAAACACAUUUAAUCAUUAAGACAAUGGUUAAAGAGUGGGCUUUUCCAAUUAAUGAGUUUAGUUGUCAUGUAUAUCAUACAUGAAUGACCAAUUUUCAAAGAAUUUCAAAUAAAAGUACCAUAGACUACAAAAAAUACAUAAAACUACACUAUUAUAAAUCUAUCAGCUUUUGUCAGAAGACACUUAGGAAUCUUCCUAAGUUUUAAAGCAGAAGUUUCCAAAUGCCCAUCUCAAUUUAAGGCCCUAUGAGGAUCUGUGGCAAAAUGAGAAAAAUAAGAUGAAAUACACAGACUUGUUGAAAUAUACAUGCUUGUUAUUAAGUUUGCUAACAUUUUUCUUCCUGAAAUUAUGGCUCUUCUAUUUUGUAAUAUCCUCCAUUCCUUGCUCAUAUCCCAUUAAGACAUAUUUCCCAGUUAAUUUCAAACUACCGAUUAAUUUGUAUAAAGUAAAUAUUCUUUUUUUUUUUGAGACGGAGUCUCGCUCUGUCACCCAGGCUGGAGUGCAGUGGCGCGAUCUCAGCUCACUGCCAGCUCCGCCUCCCGGGUUCACGCCAUUCUCCUGCCUCAGCCUCCCGAGUAGGUGGGACUACAGGUGCCCACCACCACGCCCGGCUAAUUUUUGUGUGUGUGUGUGUUUUUAGUAGAGACUGGGUUUCACCGUGUUAGCCAGGAUGGUCUCAAUUUCCUGA